RNAcentral lists this small nucleolar RNA (103 nucleotides) under Plasmodium knowlesi strain H. Its description in RNAcentral is "Plasmodium knowlesi snoRNA PKNH_0906600". The stretch from base 2 to 86 matches the Rfam family "small nucleolar RNA snoR07". Lineage: Eukaryota; Apicomplexa; Aconoidasida; Haemosporida; Plasmodiidae. The record is from RNAcentral.
CUUCAAAUGAUGAAUACUUUUUUAGCGAUGGGCGGACUGAAAGAAGUAAAACUUUGCAUGUCGAAAAUCGCGUAAACUGAUAAAGAAUUAUAUAUACUGAAUA